This 252-nucleotide ribosomal RNA is filed under the name uncultured bacterium. RNAcentral's name for it is "partial 16S ribosomal RNA". It matches the Rfam family "Bacterial small subunit ribosomal RNA", at positions 524 to 776 of the family's 1533-position model. The record is from RNAcentral.
UACGUAGGGGGCAAGCGGUGUCCGGAAUUAUUGGGCGUAAAGCGCGCGCAGGCGGCCAUUUAAGUCUGGUGUAUAAUCCCGGGGCUCAACCCCGGGUCGCACGGGAAACUGGGUGGCUGGAGUGCAGAAGAGGAGAGUGGAAUUCCACGUGUAGCGGUGAAAUGCGUAGAUAUGUGGAGGAACACCAGUGGCGAAGGCGACUCUCUGGGCUGUAACUGACGCUGAGGCGCGAAAGAGUGGGGAGCAAACAGG